RNAcentral lists this ribosomal RNA (468 nucleotides) under uncultured bacterium. RNAcentral's name for it is "partial 16S ribosomal RNA". It matches the Rfam family "Bacterial small subunit ribosomal RNA", at positions 28 to 507 of the family's 1533-position model. The record is from RNAcentral.
GACGAACGCUGGCGGCGUGCUUAACACAUGCAAGUCGGACGGAAAGGCCCUGCUUUUGUGGGGUGCUCGAGUGGCGAACGGGUGAGUAACACGUGAGUAACCUGCCCUUGACUUUGGGAUAACUUCAGGAAACUGGGGCUAAUACCGGAUAGGAGCUCCUGCUGCAUGGUGGGGGUUGGAAAGUUUCGGCGGUGGGGGCUGGACUCGCGGCUUAUCAGCUUGUUGGUGGGGUAGUGGCAUACCAAGGCUUUGACGGGUAGCCGGCCUGAGAGGGUGACCGGCGACCAUGGGACUGCGGUACGGACCAGACUGCUACGGGAGGCAGCAGUGGGGAAUAUUGCACAACGGGCGGGAGCCUGAUGCAGCAACGCCGCGUGCGGGAUGACGGCCUUCUGGUUGUAAACCGCUUUCGCCGGUGACGAGGCGUGAGUGACGGUAAUGGGUAAGGAAGCACCGGCUAACUACGUG